UGAAUACGAGACGCUAAGGCGUCGAAGUAGUGUAUGUCAUACUUCCAAGAAAAGCUUGCACUGUCAUAGAUAAAAAACGCCUGUACCAUAACCGACACAGGUGGGUAGGUAGAGUAUACUAAGGGGCGCGAGAUAACUCUCUCUAAGGAACUCGGCAAAAUAACUCCGUAACUUCGGGAGAAGGAGUGCCUUAUUCGUAAGGUUGCAAUAACAAGAUCCAAGCAACUGUUUAUCAAAAACACAGGUCUCCGCUAAGUCGUAAGACGAUGUAUGGGGGCCGACGCCUGCCCAGUGCCAGAAGGUUAAAGAAGUUGGUUAGCAAUUGCGAAGCUGAUAACUGAAGCCCUGGUGAACGGCGGCCGUAACAAUAACGGUCCUAAGGUAGCGAAAUUCCUUGUCGGGUAAGUUCCGACCCGCACGAAGGGCGUAAUGAUUUGGAUACUGUCUCGGAGAGGGGCUCGGUGAAAUAGACUUGUCUGUGAAGAUGCGGACUACCUGCACCAGGACAGAAAGACCCUAUGAAGCUUUACUGUAACUUGAAAUUGAAAUUGGACUUUAUUCGCGCAGUAUAGGUGGGAGGCGUUGAUUAUAAUCUUGUGGGAUUAUUGGAGCCAUCAGUGAGAUACCACUCUUGUAAUGUUAGAUUUCUAACUUUGAAUCAUUAUCUGGUCAAAGAACAGUUUCAGGCGGGCAGUUUGACUGGGGCGGUCGCCUCCUAAACGGUAACGGAGGCGUACAAAGGUUUCCUCUGAACGGUUAGAAAUCGUAUCUAGAGUGUAAAGGCAUAAGGAAGCUUGACUGUGAGACCUACAAGUCGAGCAGGGACGAAAGUCGGUCUUAGUGAUCUGACGGUACUGAGUGGAAAGGCCGUCACUCAACGGAUAAAAGUUACUCUAAGGAUAACAGGCUGAUCUCCCCCAAGAGUUCACAUCGACGGGGAGGUUUGGCACCUCGAUGUCGGCUCAUCGCAUCCUGGGGCGGUAGUACGUCCCAAGGGUUGGGCUGUUCGCCCAUGAAAGCGGUACGCGAGCUGGGUUCAGAACGUCGUGAGACAGUUCGGUCCAUAUCCGGUGUAGGCGUUAGAAUAUUGAGAGGAGCCUUCUUUAGUACGAGAGGACCGAGAAGGACAUACCUCUGGUGUACCAGUUAUCGUGCCAACGGUAAACGCUGGGUAGCUAUGUAUGGAGUGGAUAACCGCUGAAAGCAUCUAAGUGGGAAGCCCACCUCAAGAUAAGUAUUCUCAUU
RNAcentral lists this ribosomal RNA (1245 nucleotides) under metagenome. RNAcentral's name for it is "bacterial LSU rRNA". It matches the Rfam family "Bacterial large subunit ribosomal RNA", at positions 1564 to 2818 of the family's 2925-position model. The record is from RNAcentral.